RNAcentral lists this transfer RNA (60 nucleotides) under Bryopteris filicina. RNAcentral describes it as "partial transfer RNA-Leu". It matches the Rfam family "tRNA", at positions 25 to 71 of the family's 71-position model. From Rfam's summary of the family: Transfer RNA (tRNA) molecules are approximately 80 nucleotides in length. Their secondary structure includes four short double-helical elements and three loops (D, anti-codon, and T loops). Further hydrogen bonds mediate the characteristic L-shaped molecular structure. tRNAs have two regions of fundamental functional importance: the anti-codon, which is responsible for specific mRNA codon recognition, and the 3' end, to which the tRNAs corresponding amino acid is attached (by aminoacyl-tRNA synthetases). tRNAs cope with the degeneracy of the genetic code in two manners: having more than one tRNA (with a specific anti-codon) for a particular amino acid; and 'wobble' base-pairing, i.e. permitting non-standard base-pairing at the 3rd anti-codon position. Lineage: Eukaryota; Viridiplantae; Streptophyta; Jungermanniopsida; Porellales; Lejeuneaceae. The record is from RNAcentral.
UACGGACUUAAAAUCCGUUGGCUUUUAUAGACCUUGAGGGUUCAAGUCCCUCUACCCCCA